UGUGCAGGUGGAACUCACCUGGUGUGAUCUUCACCAUCUAAAAAAGGGUGUUUGGGGGGUUUUUCCUCAAUUCUGACAUUCUGGUUCCACUGGGGGUGAAUCUCUUUUUUUAUUCCUGAUCUGGGCUGUUCUGUGCCAGCUAGAACUGCCUGAGGUUUAGGUCACAUUGACCUCAAGGCAAAAUCUCCCUGAGUCAGGGAAUUCUUCAUGGAUUGCACUUAACAUCUUCCCUUUCAUAGAAAUUGGGGGGGUUUAUCCUCAGUUUUGUGGUUCUGGUUCCACUGGGGGUGAAUCUCUUUUUUAUUCCUGCUCUGGGCUGUUCUCCCCCAGGAAGAGCUGCCUGAGCUUAGGUCACACUGACCUCGAGGCAAAAUCUCCCUGUGUCAGGGAAUUCCUCCCCUUUCAUGGGAAUUGGGGGGUUUAGCAUCAGUUUUGAGGUCCUGGUUCCACUGGGGGUGAAUCUCUUUUUUUAUUCCUGUUCUGGGCUGUUCUCUGCCAGCUAGAACUGCCUGAGGUUCAGGUCACACUGACCUCAAGGCAAAAUCUCCCUGAGUCAGGGAAUUCCUCAUGGAUUGCACUUAACAUCUUCCCUUUCACAGGAAUUGUGGGGGUUUAUCCUCAGUUUUGAGGUCCUGGUUCCACUGAGGGUGAAUCUCCUUUUUUAUUCCUGUUCUGGGUUGUUCUCCCCCAGGAAGAGCUGCCUGAGCUUCAGGUCACACUGACCCCUGUGUCAGGGAAUUCCUCCUCUUGGAUUGCACUUAACAUCUCCCCUUUCACAGGAAUCGAGGGCGU
Molecule: long non-coding RNA, 792 nt
Filed under: Zonotrichia albicollis (white-throated sparrow)
Lineage: Eukaryota; Metazoa; Chordata; Aves; Passeriformes; Passerellidae
Description: lncRNA (ENSZALG00000001895.1)
Source: RNAcentral